This 2209-nucleotide ribosomal RNA is filed under the name Silvanops sp. BYU CO761. RNAcentral describes it as "eukaryotic LSU rRNA". It matches the Rfam family "Eukaryotic large subunit ribosomal RNA", at positions 44 to 1855 of the family's 3401-position model. The record is from RNAcentral. Lineage: Eukaryota; Metazoa; Arthropoda; Insecta; Coleoptera; Silvanidae.
UAAUAAGCGGAGGAAAAGAAACUAACUAGGAUUCCCCCAGUAGCUGCGAGCGAAGAGGGAAGAGCCCAGCACUGAAUCCCGUGACCAUUAUCGGACACUGGGAAAUGUAGUGUUAGGGAGGACCCAUUUAUCCUGAGGUUGUACGGUGCGUCCAAGUCCUUCUUGAAGGGGGCCACAGCCCAUAGAGGGUGCCAGGCCCGUAGGACCACUGUCAGCAUUUGGGAGGGUCUCUCCUCAGAGUCGGGUUGCUUGAGAGUGCAGCCCUAAGUGGGUGGUAAACUCCAUCUAAGGCUAAAUAUGACCACGAGACCGAUAGCGAACAAGUACCGUGAGGGAAAGUUGAAAAGCACUUUGAAGAGAGAGUUCAAUAGUACGUGAAACCGUUCAGGGGUAAACCUGAGAAACCCGAAAGAUCGAAAGGGGAAAUUCAUUCGUAUAUCAGUGUCUGGCAAAAUUUGUAUUUCACGUAUGUGACAGUGGAUUUAUUCAUUGUCCAACUGAUUUAUAUUUUGAACCAGCAUUGAAUGCGUGCACUUUUCCCCUAGUAGAACGUCGCGAUCUGUUGGUGAUCGAUUUACGGCCGUCAGAGGUAGACUAUGCGUUGCUGGCCAACUUGUUUGGUUAGUUCCAACUGUAUAGACCUGAUGUGACCCAAUCGUAUCUUGCCGACAGUAUCAAUAAACAAAGCAUAGAGCCGCAUUUUAUGUGCGUCCGGCCCAUAGCAAGCAUGUCUGGUGUUAUUGGUGUGUCAUACCUGCUUUGCGGGUAGGUCCCCGGUCCCAGAUGUCUGUUGGUUGUGAGGUUCUCGGACAGACUCUAUUCAUAAAACGCCAAUCAGCGACGCUAUAGCUUUGGGUACUUUCAGGGCCCGUCUUGAAACACGGACCAAGGAGUCUAGCAUGUACGCGAGUCAAUGGGACAUAAUUAAACCCAAAGGCGCAAUGAAAGUAAAGGUUUGCCUUGUGUAAACUUAGGGAAGAUGGGUGGUGUAAGUAGUAGACCGCCCCGCACUCCCGGGCCGUCUCUAUGUCUUAUUGCAAGGCGAGGCGGACCUAGAGCGUACAUGCUGGGACCCGAAAGAUGGUGAACUAUGCCUGGUCAGGACGAAGUCAGGGGAAACCCUGAUGGAGGUCCGUAGCGAUUCUGACGUGCAAAUCGAUCGUCGGAACUGGGUAUAGGGGCGAAAGACUAAUCGAACCAUCUAGUAGCUGGUUCCCUCCGAAGUUUCCCUCAGGAUAGCUGGCGCUCGUUCAAACGAGUUUCAUUCGGUAAAGCGAAUGAUUAGAGGCAUUGGGGUCGAAACGACCUCAACCUAUUCUCAAACUUUAAAUGAGUGAGACCUUCGGCUUGCUUAAAUGCAUGAAGCCGUAAGAUCAGAAUCAGAGUGCCAAGUGGGCCAUUUUUGGUAAGCAGAACUGGCGCUGUGGGAUGAACCAAACGCUGAGUUAAAGCGCCUAAAUUGACGCUUAUGGGAUACCAUGAAAGGCGUUGGUAACUUAAGACAGCAGGACGGUGGCCAUGGAAGUCGGAAUCCGCUAAGGAGUGUGUAACAACUCACCUGCCGAAGUUACUAGCCCUGAAAAUGGAUGGCGCUGAAGCGUCGUGCUUAUACUCAGCCGUUAGUGGCAUGUGCGUUUACAACCUCUUUCGGGGGGUGUAUUCAUGAAGCCCUAACGAGUAGGAGGGUCGCAAUGGUGUGCGCAGAAGGGCUGGCCGUGAGGCCGUCUGGAGCCGCCAUUGGUGCAGAUCUUGGUGGUAGUAGCAAAUACUCCAGCGAGGCCCUGGAGGACUGACGUGGAGAAGGGUUUCGUGUGAACAGCUGUUGCACACGAGUCAGUCGAUCCUAAGCCCUAGGCGAAAGCCAACGUUGAUGUAGUGUAUUCUACACAUACAAAUACAAACACACUCAUUGGGCGAAAGGGAAUCCGGUCCCUAUUCCGGAACCUGGCAGCGGAACCGUACACAAGUCGGGCCCUCAUUGAGAGUUCGUCGGGGUAACCCAAAAUGACCCGAAGACGCCGUCGGGAGAUCGGGGAAGAGUUUUCUUUUCUGUAUGAGCGUUCGAGUUCCAUGGAAUCCUCUAGCAGGGAGAUAUGGUUUGGAACGCGAAGAGCACCGCACUUGCAGCGGUGUCCCGAUCUUCCCCUCGGACCUUGAAAAUUCGGGAGAGGGCCACGUCGAGGUGUCGCGCCAGAUCGUACCCAUAUCC